This 99-nucleotide small nucleolar RNA is filed under the name Medicago truncatula (barrel medic). Lineage: Eukaryota; Viridiplantae; Streptophyta; Magnoliopsida; Fabales; Fabaceae. The record is from RNAcentral.
GUGAAGGCGAUGAUGUUGAAAAACUACCUAUUUUAUGAAGGAAUUGAGAAUUUUCCUUUAUGAUUAGAAAAUUACCAAUGGAUCCUUCUGAGCCUUCCA